This 402-nucleotide non-coding RNA is filed under the name Mus musculus (house mouse). Lineage: Eukaryota; Metazoa; Chordata; Mammalia; Rodentia; Muridae. The record is from RNAcentral.
GGCUUGAGGACCGUAUUCAUGGAAGAGGAUCGAACAGUAAAGAGCCCAGCAUUUGAUAAAAAUGAGAAUAUAUCGCCUCAAGCAGAAGCAGAUGAAGAUAUGGGAGAUGAAGUAGACAGUAUGUUGGAUAAAUCUGAAGGAAGAACAUCAACAACAAAUUUUGUGAGCAGUAUAUAACUACAUUUCAGAAGUCUUAUAUGGAUGUACAGAAAUUCAAUGAGGAAAAAGAAAAAUCAGUGAAUAGUUGUCAAAAAGAACAACAAGCAUUGAAACUGUCCAAAUGUAGUCAGAACCAGACCCUGGAAGCAGGUAAAGAAAUGCAUGAGAAGUCCAUGGAGCUGCAUCAUUGGACUCAAACUGAAUGGUCCAUGUGUUGCCACUGAUGUGAGCCAUUUGCAAGCC